RNAcentral lists this long non-coding RNA (211 nucleotides) under Elaeis guineensis (African oil palm). RNAcentral's name for it is "long non-coding RNA (EGUI_LNC044709)". The record is from RNAcentral. Lineage: Eukaryota; Viridiplantae; Streptophyta; Magnoliopsida; Arecales; Arecaceae.
AAUUUUAAUCAUAUAAAUUAGAUAUCUUAUUUUUCAUACAACUUCAUAUCACAUAUAACAAACCUAGAAUUUCAAGAUCGAGAAUUUUGUAGAAAAGUAAGUUCUUCCUUUUACAUUCUUCAUCAUGGGAUCUAAUCACAUGAUACCCCUAUAUGCCACAAGAGCAUCCUAUCGAUUGAAAAGAGAGAAUCUUUAAACCCUUCUUGCCCCU